RNAcentral lists this long non-coding RNA (375 nucleotides) under Macaca mulatta (Rhesus monkey). RNAcentral describes it as "lncRNA (ENSMMUG00000059950.1)". Lineage: Eukaryota; Metazoa; Chordata; Mammalia; Primates; Cercopithecidae. The record is from RNAcentral.
CUGGCACAUCAUCUAACACAUCACCUAGCACACAAGACAUGCUGAACCAAGGUUUGCCAUCAUUCUUCUCAAAGCCCACACACAGCUAGAGGGUUGAGAGCAAGGCUGCCAACCCUGGUUGUUUAAUUCUGCUCAUAAAGCUUCUGUAUGUUCCAUCUGCAAAAACUAAAUUCAGAGAAAAAUAACUGGAAAUAGAAAAGGGUGGUCAAGGAGAACACCAGAGCCAGAAGGAGGCGAAGACCAGUUCCUUGUGUAUCUGGAACUUGCCCUAUAGGGGUUCUUUGCCUCCUAUACCAGGCCCUGGAGGAAAAUCUGUUUGGUUGUAGAACCCCAGAGUCAACCCCCAAGCAUCCCCGGAAGAAAAGUACACUUUGA